CCGGCGUUGGGCGGCUCUCUUCCUUUGCUGAACUGCACCUCAGCGCUGAUGACAGGCGGUCUGCUUACUGCAUGGUAAGCAAAUCGCCAGGACCGGGACCAGAGCUCUCCUGAAAAGACACCGAGCCCCAAAAGGGGACCGUCGUCUUGUGAUGGAAGAAGCUUCCUGGUAUGAAAUGGCGUUGUCCCCGAGGGCACUUUUCACGCGGCUGCACUAGAGCGCUGUUCUUCGAUGUAAAAGUAGAAAAAAUAAGAAUCCCCCUGAGAUUUGAACAGGUCAAACCCAAAUGAUGUUUUAAAGAAGCUUGAAGACCUGACUCUUUGCCCAGACAUUUGAUUUGAACAGGCCAAAUGGUGUUCAAAGGGCCUUGAAGAGCUGAUUCUUUGCCCAGAAGUAAUUUACCUGCCAGAGAAAGGAUGCUGGUUCACAAGAUCUCCAUUCUGAAGAUGGUAAUCACUGAAGAAAUCAGGACUUAUUGCUCCAUCAUGUGUUAUUAAUCCAUCUAUGAAACAAGAAAAAAU
Molecule: long non-coding RNA, 521 nt
Organism: Ahaetulla prasina
Lineage: Eukaryota; Metazoa; Chordata; Lepidosauria; Squamata; Colubridae
Exons: 5
Source: RefSeq, a predicted model, not a curated record